This 455-nucleotide long non-coding RNA is filed under the name Triticum aestivum (bread wheat). RNAcentral describes it as "long non-coding RNA (TAES_LNC017683)". Lineage: Eukaryota; Viridiplantae; Streptophyta; Magnoliopsida; Poales; Poaceae. The record is from RNAcentral.
CUUCCUCAAUUCAUACCCAUCCUGCAGAAAAAAUAAAUGUAGUUAGUAUGAAAAAUUCACGGAGAAGGUCUUAAAACAUGUAACCCACAAUACUCACCACGCAAACCGGCUUUACCAAUUCUUUACCGUUCCACCAGAGCAUAAAAUGAAAAACAAAAUAGCCAGACACAUUCCUGGAAAACUUUCAAUUAAUAUUAUAAAUAAUAUAAUGAUAACAAAAGUAAAUAUUCUUGUUAUGAAUUCAUUACCCGUCUAUACUCGUUGGAACACCAGCCGGAAAUAAACGAUGCCAUUUAGAUAUAUCAAAAUUCCACCCAGGCAGCUUUAUUUCGAGUGCUUCUUUGAAAUCCCUUGAAAAGCUUUUUAAUUUCAGUGAAUGCCUCAAGUUUUUAUCCUCUGACGAUUGUGAUGAUUGAAUAGGAUCCAUAAUAUAUAGACGACGUGCCUCUUUGUCG